RNAcentral lists this ribosomal RNA (497 nucleotides) under uncultured bacterium. RNAcentral's name for it is "partial 16S ribosomal RNA". It matches the Rfam family "Bacterial small subunit ribosomal RNA", at positions 28 to 507 of the family's 1533-position model. The record is from RNAcentral.
GAUGAACGCUGGCGGCGUGCCUAAUACAUGCAAGUCGAGCGAACAGACGAGGAGCUUGCUCCUCUGACGUUAGCGGCGGACGGGUGAGUAACAUGUGGAUAAUCUACCUAUAAGACUGGGAUAACUUCGGGAAACCGGAGCUAAUACCGGAUAAUAUAUUGAACCGCAUGGUGCAAUAGUGAAUGACGGUUUUGCUGUCACUUAUAGAUGGAUCCGCGCCGCAUUAGCUAGUUGGUAAGGUAACGGCUUACCAAGGCAACGAGUCGUAGCCGACCUGAGAGGGUGAUCGGCGACACGGGAAGUUAGACGCGGUCCAGACUCCUACGGAAGGCCGCAGUAGGCAAUCUGCCGCAAUGGGCGGAAACCUUGCGGAGUGGCGCCGCGCGUGUGAUGGCGGUCUUGCGAUCGUGAAAAUGUGUUAUUAGGGAUGAACCAAUUUGUAAGUAACCGUGGACGUAUUGACGGUACCUGGUCAGAAAGCCCCGGCUAACUACGUG